RNAcentral lists this ribosomal RNA (424 nucleotides) under Verrucomicrobiota bacterium. RNAcentral's name for it is "Verrucomicrobia bacterium partial 16S ribosomal RNA". It matches the Rfam family "Bacterial small subunit ribosomal RNA", at positions 355 to 776 of the family's 1533-position model. The record is from RNAcentral. Lineage: Bacteria; Pseudomonadati; Verrucomicrobiota.
UGAGGAAUAUUGGUCAAUGGGCGAGAGUCUGAACCAGCCAAGUAGCGUGCAGGACGACGGCCCUAUGGGUUGUAAACUGCUUUUAUGUGGGGAUAAAGUGCGUGACGUGUCAUGCAUUGCAGGUACCACAUGAAUAAGGACCGGCUAAUUCCGUGCCAGCAGCCGCGGUAAUACGGAAGGUCCGGGCGUUAUCCGGAUUUAUUGGGUUUAAAGGGAGCGUAGGCUGUCUAUUAAGCGUGUUGUGAAAUAUACCGGCUCAACCGGUGGCUUGCAGCGCGAACUGGUCGACUUGAGUAUGCAGGAAGUAGGCGGAAUUCAUGGUGUAGCGGUGAAAUGCUUAGAUAUCAUGACGAACUCCGAUUGCGCAGGCAGCUUACUGUAGCAUAACUGACGCUGAUGCUCGAAAGUGCGGGUAUCAAACAGG